This 1868-nucleotide ribosomal RNA is filed under the name Parcubacteria group bacterium GW2011_GWB1_52_7. RNAcentral describes it as "bacterial LSU rRNA". It matches the Rfam family "Bacterial large subunit ribosomal RNA", at positions 1 to 1891 of the family's 2925-position model. The record is from RNAcentral.
UUAUUAAGGGCGCAUGGUGGAUGCCUUGGCUUCAAACAGCGAUGAAGGACGUAGCGUGCUUGCGAUAAGCGUCGGGGAGGUGGCGAGCAACCUUUGAUCCGGCGAUGUCCGAAUGGGGAAACCCCCGGCGAUGUCCGAAUGGGGAAACCCUAUCGAGGUCAUACUCGAUAACCUGCCGUGUAAUAGCGGCAUGGAGUACACCCGCUGAAGUGAAACAUCUCAGUAAGCGGAGGAAAAGAAAAAAAGCGAAACUUCUUUUUAGUUGCUAGUGGCUAGUUUCUAGUCGCUAGUUGCUAAAAGAUAGUUUCAACAUUCCCGUAGUAGCGGCGAGCGAACGGGGAACAGCCCAAACCCGAGACUUCGUUAGGAGAACGGCCCUGGAACGGCCGGCCAAAGAGGGUAAUAGCCCCGUAAACGAAAACGGUUUCGUGCUCUAAUCAUUAUUCUUGAGUACUGCCCAGGUAGGAGUCUGGGUAGGAAUCUGGGAGCACUAGUCUCCCAAGGCUAAAUAUGUUUGAAGACCGAUAGUGAACCAGUACCGUGAGGGAAAGGUGAAAAGCAGCCCGGUGAGGGCGGUGAAAUAGUACCUGAAACCAUGUGCUUACAAGGAGUCGAAGCCGGCGGUGACGGCGUGCCUAUUGAAGAAUGAGCCAACGAGUGUACGGAGAUUGCUUGACUAAACUACUUUGUAGUGAAGUCGCAGGGAAACCGAGUGUUAAUAGCGCGAUCUUAGAUUUUUAGUUCGUGUAAACCCCGACCCGAAACCAGGUGAGCUACCCAUGAGCAGGGUGAAUCCGCCGUAACUGGCGGAGGAGGCCCGAACCGGUUGAUCGUUCAACGUCUUCGGAUGACUUGUGGGUCGGAGUGAAAAGCUAAUCGAACCUGGAAAUAGCUGGUUCUCUUCGAAAUAAAUACAGGCAGUCCAAUCAAACUCCGAAUGCCAGUUACGUUAUUCCGGCAGUCAGCAGGCGGGGGCUAAGCUCCGUCGUGCAUGAGGGAAACAGCCCAGACCGCCGAUUAAGGUCCCUAAAUCAAUGCUAAGUGUUAAGGCGGUGGAAUUUCUUAAACAGCGAGGAGGUUGGCUUAGAAGCAGCCAUCCUUUAAAGAGUGCGUAACAGCUCACUCGUCAAGAGAUUCUGCGCCACAAAUGUAUCGGGGCUAAGCAUUGUACCGAAAUCGCGGAUGCGUGCGCGCGCGUGGUAGAAGAGCAUUUGCAUCUGCAGUGAAGCCCACGACGCGAGUCGGGGUGGAGCGGUGCGAAGAGAGAAUGUUGGCACAAGUAACCGCAAGUCAGGUGAGAAUCCUGACCGCCGAAAGUCCAAGGUUUCCUUGGCAAUGAUUAUCAGCUAAGGGUUAGUCGGUCCUAAGGGGAUGGCGAACGCCGGACCCGAUGGAUAUACGGUUAAUAUUCCGUAACCCGAGUUUUGAUCGAUGGCGCGACGGAGUGUAGUAGGUUGAGUGGAUUAUUGGAUUUCCAUUCAGCGCACGAGGGGGCAGUGUAGGCAAAUCCGCACUGCUGGAUUUAAUUCCGACUUCAAGUGCGAUGAAAAUGCGUUUCUUCGGAUCCUGCAAAUUCAAUCGAGCGCGCUUCCCAGAAAAACGUCUAAGAUUAUCGAAAUUCGGACCGUACCGCAAACCGACACAGGUGGACUAGUGGAGAACACUAAGGCGAACGGGUGAGACCUCGUUAAGGAACUAGGCAAAAAAGCGGCCGUAAGUUCGCAAUAAGGCCUGCCUCAUUGAGGCUGAGGCCGCAGCGAAAGUAUCUCUAGCGACUGUUUACCAAAAACACAGGUCCCUGCUAAACACGUAAGUGGAUGUAUAGGGGCUGACGCCUGACCAAUGCGAGAAGGUUAAAGAUUGUGGUC